Vicugna pacos (alpaca) is the source of this 3153-nucleotide non-coding RNA. Lineage: Eukaryota; Metazoa; Chordata; Mammalia; Artiodactyla; Camelidae. The record is from RefSeq and is a predicted model, not a curated record.
GCCUAUAGUGACAUCUUCUGGUCAUUCCUAGUGUGCACCCCACCCCCAUGCAAGCCUGUGGUUCUCCUUCCAACUAGAAACUGUUCCCUGUCUUUCAGAGCAGAUGGAUUGCAACCCCUGGGGUUAGUAUCAGGACCAGGGUUUUGUAAGCACCAUCCCCACGUGGAGGGAGAGGAGGCACAACAGAAAGGCAGAGGCAGGCAUUCUCAGAGGCUCUCAUGGAUGUGUGACUCCUUCCAGCUGAAGGUCCCCUAGUGUCCGUAUGACAGGAGGGCAGUCCAGCGUGGGCAGCCUCCGUCUUUACGCUGUAGGGAUUACUACGGCAGCAGAGAAAUGAGUGGAGCCACACCUGGGCUCGCACACCUGGGGGUGCUAACAGCUAACCUACACUCAGAUGCCGGUAGCUCUGGAGAAGCAGUGAUUACCAGCAGCCUCCUCCUUCAGGGAGAAUAGGCCUGAGGUGGCUGACUGCCUCAACUGGAAACACUUGAUGCUGCUUGAAAUACCAUCCCGUGUGUUAAAAGGAAGAUCUGCUGAAGGGUUGCACAUACUUUAAUGGUCAAGACUCCUCGGCAUCUCUCCUAUCUCUCAGCACUGGGCCCAGCACCUUGUGGGAAUGCAGACUGGUGGGUGACAGAGGCCCAGAUACCCAGGUAAAGAAACCCACAGCCUCCAAAAUGAAUGUGUUUCCAGGGACAAAGCUGGUUAUGUCUCAAUAGUCCCUGAGAUACAGAUGCUACAGAGGGACGGCAGAGAGAUGAAUAUUUGGUGAGGCACCGGGCAUGUGGUUGGCAGAAGACAUGACAGCCUGCGGGAUAACACGGGCAAUCACUGUAGACCUGGCAGAAGGACUGUCAACGUUCUCAGGGAAAGAGACUGAACCUGUCAACUUCGCUGACACAGAAAUGCACUUUUAUCCAAAGUUCUAGGAAACACUAGAAAGAGCGUAUGUGUGACUAGCUAUUUUUUCCCGAAGGUCUUUAGAGACAUGAUAGCGCUUGUUUUCACACCCUCCUGUUGAUGCCAGGAGAGACAAGAAGGAUUAUCUGCAUUUUACACUAGGAGGAGCAGCCCUGGGAAAGUGACAUGGGGGUAGCGGUGGCAUACUGUUUUCUGACAAAGAUCACAGUUGAUGCAGGUGCCCUGGUGCCUACUGUGAAGGCCAUAAAAGAGCUUAAUCAUUCUAGAAGGUUCCAUAGGCCCGAAUAGGAGAAAUGAAGGUAAACAGGAAGAGGCUGAGUAGAGAGCAUCUCAUGAAAACCCUGGGAGAACACAUCUCCUCCCUGACCAUGAGAAAGAAGGACCCUGUUGAGGAGGUACUUGUAAGAAAGCCCAGCACACCUACUUUCUGUCAUCAUGACCUUUGAUGCCAAAAAAGCAAAACCCUCUAGAUUCCAGGGCAUGCAGAACCACUGCCCUGUCUUGUCUCUGCUGGGGCACCUGGACAUCCACCUGAAGGGAACCUCCAGGAUGGGGUAUGAUCCAUGCCACUGAAGAAAGUGAUGAGCUCUCCUUGAACCAACGUCAGGGGGUAGUUUUCAGAUUAAAUGAGAAAAUGCAUGCAGUAAAGCACUUAGAAUAGGGCCUAGGGCAUAGGAAAAACUCAAAAAUGUUACUGCUCCUUCUAAAAUUCCUGGUCCUUGUUAGAGUUGGCAGUCUUUACUACUUCUGUUGGGAAUGAAUUCUCUUAAGUUCUCAAUCUGCAUGUAAAGGAUGUUUUGCUUUCUUUUUGGUCAGGUACUUAAAAUUAUUUGACUCUAAUUGAAGACUGGUCUACUCUUGGGCUCUAUGGGGUCAGGAAAAUAAUUUAGGAUUUAGAGAAAAAUGGACCCUGGUUUCCUUCAUGGCUCUGCCACUUAUUAUUUGUGGCUUGGGGCAAAAUACACUAUCUCUUCUCAGCCUUAGUUUUCUCCUCUGUAAGCUCUAGAUGGAAUUCCUGCCUCAAUGGGUCAUCGGUUAAAUUAAGUGAGAUAAUGGAUGAGAAUGCUCUUUGCAAACUAUGAAACACUGUACAAGUAAUGGGUUCUUUUUAUUAUUAGGAAUUUUGGGCUUGACCAGACUUGCUUUCUUCCCCUGUCACAUGUAUCCUCCAGUUCACACUAAGCUUUGUAGACAGUGAUGGCCAAACUCAUAUCAGGUCUGCCAAAUGGCAUAGGACUAAUCAAUUGAUCAUUUGAUUAAAUUAUCCAGUCAAUUUAGGCAACCCAUUUUCUCAGUUGUCCUCAUCUCCAUCCACACUCAACCCCACUCAAGUGAUCCAAAACAGUGGCUUGUGAUAUCAUAUAAAUAUAUUCUUCAAGCAACACGAUGUUCUUCUUGGACCAUCUUCACCAUCCAGGGAUGCUAGGCACCCAGGAACUGAUGAUUUGUGCUUCAGAUAAAUGUGACAUCUUAAUCAACCAGUACAAAUGCUACUUCAAGCAAGCACUAACAGAUGGUGGCCUGAAUUUUAUAGCAUCGUCCGUAUUUUCCAGGCAAAAUUUAUAGUUCAGUCAUCAGUGAGCUGAGUCCUACCUCAUUUUUCUUUUCUGUUUAAUCUUUAGCAAGCAACCAUCCUGAAAACCCAAAGCAUGUUUUGUAAUGAAGCCAUAGCCGUGGACCAGUAAUGUAGUUUUAUUUCUGUCCUCCCCACUCCUCCAUUCUCAGGUUGUAUGCACCCAAUGCACAUAGUAAUGAGAGUGUCAGUCAGGUGCUGAUGGCGGAGUCCCAGGCAAGAUUGCCUUAUCUUCAAGUUGAAAUGCUAAGAAGGUGAGAUUUCACCACCUUCCAGGGCCCCUGAAGAACCUUCUAUCUACUCAACGCUACUCCUUCCAACUAAGGCCUCCGAAAGUAGGACCAGUCUUCUAAUCUUUCUGAAUCUGAGUCUAAUAUAGUCCCAAAGCACAAAGGGCAUCUUUAGAAAGGAUGGAUGAACUUAGCCUCUUGGGACAAGCCCAGAUAUGGCUGCAGUCUUGGCCUUAUCACCUAUUACCUAUGUGAUCUGGAACAAGUCAAUGUCAUCUCAGAUUCCUUGUCAGUAAAAUGAGCUAAUAAUAACCUUUGCUUUAUAAGCCUGUUGUAAUGAUUAAACAAGAUAAUAUUAUGUAAAGCACUUUGCACAGUGCCUGACACAUAGAAAGCUUUCAAUAAAUUGUAGCUAAUAAAAGCAUUAUC